GGUUAAGCGACUAAGCGUACACGGUGGAUGCCCUGGCAGUCAGAGGCGAUGAAGGACGUGCUAAUCUGCGAUAAGCGCCGGUAAGGUGAUAUGAACCGUUAUAACCGGCGAUUUCCGAAUGGGGAAACCCAGUGUGACUCGUCACACUAUCAUUAACUGAAUCCAUAGGUUAAUGAGGCGAACCGGGGGAACUGAAACAUCUAAGUACCCCGAGGAAAAGAAAUCAACCGAGAUUCCCCCAGUAGCGGCGAGCGAACGGGGAGGAGCCCAGAGCCUGAAUCAGCAUGUGUGUUAGUGGAAGCGUCUGGAAAGGCGCGCGAUACAGGGUGACAGCCCCGUACACAAAAGCGCAUGUGCUGUGAGCUCGAUGAGUAGGGCGGGACACGUGGUAUCCUGUCUGAAUAUGGGGGGACCAUCCUCCAAGGCUAAAUACUCCUGACUGACCGAUAGUGAACCAGUACCGUGAGGGAAAGGCGAAAAGAACCCCGGCGAGGGGAGUGAAAAAGAACCUGAAACCGUGUACGUACAAGCAGUGGGAGCACAGGUUUACCUGUGUGACUGCGUACCUUUUGUAUAAUGGGUCAGCGACUUAUAUUCUGUAGCAAGGUUAACCGCAUAGGGGAGCCGCAGGGAAACCGAGUCUUAACCGGGCGUUAAGUUGCAGGGUAUAGACCCGAAACCCGGUGAUCUAGCCAUGGGCAGGUUGAAGGUUGGGUAACACUAACUGGAGGACCGAACCGACUAAUGUUGAAAAAUUAGCGGAUGACCUGUGGCUGGGGGUGAAAGGCCAAUCAAACCGGGAGAUAGCUGGUUCUCCCCGAAAGCUAUUUAGGUAGCGCCUCGUGAAUUCAUCUCCGGGGGUAGAGCACUGUUUCGGCUAGGGGGUCAUCCCGACUUACCAACCCGAUGCAAACUGCGAAUACCGGAGAAUGUUAUCACGGGAGACACACGGCGGGUGCUAACGUCCGUCGUGAAGAGGGAAACAACCCAGACCGCCAGCUAAGGUCCCAAAGUCAUGGUUAAGUGGGAAACGAUGUGGGAAGGCCCAGACAGCCAGGAUGUUGGCUUAGAAGCAGCCAUCAUUUAAAGAAAGCGUAAUAGCUCACUGGUCGAGUCGGCCUGCGCGGAAGAUGUAACGGGGCUAAACCAUGCACCGAAGCUGCGGCAGCGAACGUAUCACCCAAGACAACUUUGCGGAGUUGACGAUUGACGGAGCGAAGCGACGUCAAAGCGUUCAUUAAAGUCGAGUUGGCUUAGGGAUACGUUCGUUGGGUAGGGGAGCGUUCUGUAAGCCUGUGAAGGUAUGCUGUGAGGCAUGCUGGAGGUAUCAGAAGUGCGAAUGCUGACAUAAGUAACGAUAAAGCGGGUGAAAAGCCCGCUCGCCGGAAGACCAAGGGUUCCUGUCCAACGUUAAUCGGGGCAGGGUGAGUCGACCCCUAAGGCGAGGCCGAAAGGCGUAGUCGAUGGGAAACGGGUUAAUAUUCCCGUACUUGGUGUUACUGCGAAGGGGGGACGGAGAAGGCUAUGUUGGCCGGGCGACGGUUGUCCCGGUUUAAGCGUGUAGGUGUGUGUUCCAGGUAAAUCCGGUUCACUUUAACACUGAGGCGUGACGACGAGGCACUACGGUGCUGAAGCAACAAAUGCCCUGCUUCCAGGAAAAGCCUCUAAGCAUCAGGUAACAUCAAAUCGUACCCCAAACCGACACAGGUGGUCAGGUAGAGAAUACCAAGGCGCUUGAGAGAACUCGGGUGAAGGAACUAGGCAAAAUGGUGCCGUAACUUCGGGAGAAGGCACGCUGACAUGUAGGUGAAGUGAUUUACUCAUGGAGCUGAAGUCAGUCGAAGAUACCAGCUGGCUGCAACUGUUUAUUAAAAACACAGCACUGUGCAAACACGAAAGUGGACGUAUACGGUGUGACGCCUGCCCGGUGCCGGAAGGUUAAUUGAUGGGGUCAGCGCAAGCGAAGCUCCUGAUCGAAGCCCCGGUAAACGGCGGCCGUAACUAUAACGGUCCUAAGGUAGCGAAAUUCCUUGUCGGGUAAGUUCCGACCUGCACGAAUGGCGUAAUGAUGGCCAGGCUGUCUCCACCCGAGACUCAGUGAAAUUGAACUCGCUGUGAAGAUGCAGUGUACCCGCGGCAAGACGGAAAGACCCCGUGAACCUUUACUAUAGCUUGACACUGAACAUUGAGCCUUGAUGUGUAGGAUAGGUGGGAGGCUUUGAAGUGUGGACGCCAGUCUGCAUGGAGCCGACCUUGAAAUACCACCCUUUAAUGUUUGAUGUUCUAACGUGGACCCGUAAUCCGGGUUGCGGACAGUGUCUGGUGGGUAGUUUGACUGGGGCGGUCUCCUCCUAAAGAGUAACGGAGGAGCACGAAGGUUGGCUAAUCCUGGUCGGACAUCAGGAGGUUAGUGCAAUGGCAUAAGCCAGCUUGACUGCGAGCGUGACGGCGCGAGCAGGUGCGAAAGCAGGUCAUAGUGAUCCGGUGGUUCUGAAUGGAAGGGCCAUCGCUCAACGGAUAAAAGGUACUCCGGGGAUAACAGGCUGAUACCGCCCAAGAGUUCAUAUCGACGGCGGUGUUUGGCACCUCGAUGUCGGCUCAUCACAUCCUGGGGCUGAAGUAGGUCCCAAGGGUAUGGCUGUUCGCCAUUUAAAGUGGUACGCGAGCUGGGUUUAGAACGUCGUGAGACAGUUCGGUCCCUAUCUGCCGUGGGCGCUGGAGAACUGAGGGGGGCUGCUCCUAGUACGAGAGGACCGGAGUGGACGCAUCACUGGUGUUCGGGUUGUCAUGCCAAUGGCACUGCCCGGUAGCUAAAUGCGGAAGAGAUAAGUGCUGAAAGCAUCUAAGCACGAAACUUGCCCCGAGAUGAGUUCUCCCUGAGACUUUAGGUCUCCUGAAGGAACGUUGAAGACGACGACGUUGAUAGGCCGGGUGUGUAAGCGCAGCGAUGCGUUGAGCUAACCGGUACUAAUGAACCGUGAGGCUUAACCUU
This 2992-nucleotide ribosomal RNA is filed under the name Salmonella enterica. RNAcentral's name for it is "23S ribosomal RNA". It matches the Rfam family "Bacterial large subunit ribosomal RNA". The record is from RNAcentral. Lineage: Bacteria; Pseudomonadati; Pseudomonadota; Gammaproteobacteria; Enterobacterales; Enterobacteriaceae.